UGAGGAAUAUUGGUCAAUGGUCGGGAGACUGAACCAGCCAAGCCGCGUGAGGGAGGAAGGUACAGAGUAUCGUAAACCUCUUUUGUCAGGGAGCAACAACAUCUACGAGUAGGUGUUACGAGAGUACCUGAAGAAAAAGCAUCGGCUAACUCCGUGCC
This 158-nucleotide ribosomal RNA is filed under the name uncultured bacterium. RNAcentral's name for it is "partial 16S ribosomal RNA". It matches the Rfam family "Bacterial small subunit ribosomal RNA", at positions 355 to 509 of the family's 1533-position model. The record is from RNAcentral.